AACGAACGCUGGCGGCAUGCCUAACACAUGCAAGUCGAACGAGACCUUCGGGUCUAGUGGCGCACGGGUGCGUAACGCGUGGGAACCUGCCCUUAGGUUCGGAAUAACUCCCCGAAAGGGGUGCUAAUACCGGAUAAUGUCUUCGGACCAAAGAUUUAUCGCCUUUGGAUGGGCCCGCGUUGGAUUAGCUAGUUGGUAGGGUAAAAGCCUACCAGGGCGACGAUCCAUAGCUGGUCUGAGAGGAUGAUCAGCCACACUGGGACUGAGACACGGCCCAGACUCCUACGGGAGGCAGCAGUGGGGAAUAUUGGACAAUGGGCGAAAGCCUGAUCCAGCAAUGCCGCGCGAGUGAUGAAGGCCUUAGGGUUGUAAAGCUCUUUUACCCGGGAUGAUAAUGACAGUACCGGGAGAAUAAGCGCCGGCUAACUCCGUG
RNAcentral lists this ribosomal RNA (433 nucleotides) under uncultured bacterium. RNAcentral describes it as "partial 16S ribosomal RNA". It matches the Rfam family "Bacterial small subunit ribosomal RNA", at positions 29 to 507 of the family's 1533-position model. The record is from RNAcentral.